Molecule: ribosomal RNA, 469 nt
Filed under: uncultured bacterium
Lineage: Bacteria
Description: partial 16S ribosomal RNA
Rfam family: Bacterial small subunit ribosomal RNA
Source: RNAcentral
GACGAACGCUGGCGGCGUGCUUAACACAUGCAAGUCGAACGGUGAAGCGAGUGCUUGCACUCGUGGAUCAGUGGCGAACGGGUGAGUAACACGUGAGUAACCUGCCCAUCACUCUGGGAUAAGCACUGGAAACGGUGUCUAAUACUGGAUACGACCAACCCUUGCAUGGGGUGUUGGUGGAAAGAUUUAUCGGUGAUGGAUGGACUCGCGGCCUAUCAGCUUGUUGGCGGGGUAAUGGCCCACCAAGGCGACGACGGGUAGCCGGCCUGAGAGGGUGACCGGCCACACUGGGACUGAGACACGGCCCAGACUCUUACGGGAGGCAGCAGUGGGGAAUAUUGCACAAUGGGCGAAAGCCUGAUGCAGCGACGCCGCGUGAGGGAUGACGGCCUUCGGGUUGUAAACCUCUUUCAGCAGGGAAGAAGCGAAAGUGACGGCACCUGCAGAAGAAGCACCGGCUAACUACGUG